AUGCCCAAAGGAUCCUUGGACAGAUGGAUUUAUUGUCGACAUGACAAUGAUGCCCCUCUUUUAGAUUGGAGCACGCGGUGCAAAAUUAUAACUCACAUAGCUAAGGGCCUCUCUUAUCUUCAUGAGGAGUGCACAACAAGAAUUGCUCAUUUGGAUGUCAAACCACAAAAUAUUCUCUUGGAUGACAACUUCGAUGCUAAACUUUCUGAUUUUGGACUAUGCAAGCUCAUCGACAGGGAUAUGAGCCAAGUGGUUACCAGAAUGAGAGGCACACCUGGAUAUUUAGCUCCAGAAUGGUUGACAUCACAGAUCACGGAAAAGGCGGAUAUCUACAGCUUUGGCAUCGUGGUGAUGGAAAUCAUCAGUGGAAGAAAGAACCUCGACACUUCCCUGUCAGAAGAGAGCGUCCAUCUCAUCACCCUAUUGGAGGAAAAGGUGAAGAAUGAUCAGUUGGUAGAUUUGAUUGACAAUAACAGUAACGACAUGCAAGCACACAAGCAAGAUGUAAUUCAGAUGAUGAUGCUUGCAAUGUGGUGCUUGCAGAUUGAUCGCAAAAAAAGGCCUAAAAUGUCGGAGGUGGUAAGAGUAUUGGAAGGUACCAUGAAAGCAGACCUCAACAUAGAACAUGAGUUUGUUGUAACAACUCCUGCAAAUUUUAGUAGCACAGGAAAAGUGAGCUCUUCAGCUCCACCUCUAGCCUCAGAUGUAUCAGGCCCCAGGUGA
RNAcentral lists this ribosomal RNA (723 nucleotides) under Triticum aestivum (bread wheat). RNAcentral describes it as "partial small subunit ribosomal RNA". Lineage: Eukaryota; Viridiplantae; Streptophyta; Magnoliopsida; Poales; Poaceae. The record is from RNAcentral.